GACGUAGGGGGCAAGCGUUGUUCGGAAUUACUGGGCGUAAAGGGCUCGUAGGCGGCCAACUAAGUCAGACGUGAAAUCCCUCGGCUUAACCGGGGAACUGCAUCUGAUACUGGAUGGCUUGAGAUUGGGAGAGGGAUGCGGAAUUCCAGGUGUAGCGGUGAAAUGCGUAGAUAUCUGGAGGAACACCGGUGGCGAAGGCGGCAUCCUGGACCAACACUGACGCUGAGGAGCGAAAGCCAGGGGAGCAAACGGG
Molecule: ribosomal RNA, 253 nt
Filed under: uncultured bacterium
Lineage: Bacteria
Description: partial 16S ribosomal RNA
Rfam family: Bacterial small subunit ribosomal RNA
Source: RNAcentral